UGAAUACGAGAUGCUACGGCGUCGAAGCAGUGUAUGUCAGACUUCCAAGAAAAGCUCGCAAUGUCAUAAAUAAAGAAUGCCUGUACCAUAACCGACACAGGUGGGUAGGUAGAGUAUACUAAGGGGCGCGAGAUAACUCUCUCUAAGGAACUCGGCAAAAUAACUCCGUAACUUCGGGAGAAGGAGUGCCUUCUUUAAGAAGGUUGCAAUAACAAGAUCCAAGCAACUGUUUAUCAAAAACACAGGUCUCCGCUAAGUCGUAAGACGAUGUAUGGGGGCUGACGCCUGCCCAGUGCCAGAAGGUUAAAGAAGUUGGUUAGCUUUUGCGAAGCUGAUGACUGAAGCCCUGGUGAACGGCGGCCGUAACAAUAACGGUCCUAAGGUAGCGAAAUUCCUUGUCGGGUAAGUUCCGACCCGCACGAAAGGCGUAAUGAUUUGGAUACUGUCUCGGAGAGGGACUCGGUGAAAUAGACUUGUCUGUGAAGAUGCGGACUACCUGCACCAGGACAGAAAGACCCUAUGAAGCUUUACUGUAACUUGAAAUUGAAAUUGGACUUUAUUUGCGCAGUAUAGGUGGAAGGCGUUGAAAGUAAUCUUGCGGGAUUAGUGGAGCCAUCAGUGAGAUACCACUCCUAUAAUGUUAGAUUUCUAACUUUGGAUCAUGAUCUGGUCAAAGAACAGUUUCAGGCGGGCAGUUUGACUGGGGCGGUCGCCUCCCAAAUGGUAACGGAGGCGUACAAAGGUUUCCUCUGAACGGGUAGAAAUCGUAUCUAGAGUGUAAAGGCAUAAGGAAGCUUGACUGUGAGACCUACAAGUCGAGCAGGGACGAAAGUCGGUCUUAGUGAUCUGACGGUGCUGAGUGGAAAGGCCGUCACUCAACGGAUAAAGUUACUCUAGGAUAACAGGCUGAUCUCCCCCAAGAGUUCACAUCGACGGGGAGGUUUGGCACCUCGAUGUCGGCUCAUCGCAUCCUGGGGCGGUAGUACGUCCCAAGGGUUGGGCUGUUCGCCCAUGAAAGCGGUACGCGAGCUGGGUUCAGAACGUCGUGAGACAGUUCGGUCCAUAUCCGGUGUAGGCGUUAGAAUAUUGAGAGGAGCCUUCUUUAGUACGAGAGGACCGAGAAGGACAUACCUCUGGUGUACCAGUUAUCGUGCCAACGGUAAACGCUGGGUAGCUAUGUAUGGAGAGGAUAACCGCUGAAAGCAUCUAAGUGGGAAGCCCACCUCAAGAUGAGUAUUCUC
Molecule: ribosomal RNA, 1241 nt
Filed under: metagenome
Description: bacterial LSU rRNA
Rfam family: Bacterial large subunit ribosomal RNA
Source: RNAcentral